Molecule: long non-coding RNA, 601 nt
Filed under: Ictidomys tridecemlineatus (thirteen-lined ground squirrel)
Lineage: Eukaryota; Metazoa; Chordata; Mammalia; Rodentia; Sciuridae
Description: lncRNA (ENSSTOG00000032628.1)
Source: RNAcentral
AAUCUGAAAAAUUAACGUCAUAAUUCCUUUUAUCCCUUGUUUUCUUAGUGAUGUGAAGAGACUGAAUUGGCCACAUGUCAUUAUCAGCUUACCAAUUAAUGGUUCCAUUGUUGUAUCUCCAUUUUACCAUUCCUGUUCUGGACAACCAAAACACAUGGUUUCAUGGUUGGAAGGCUAAAUUUUGACUAAGCAAUGGAGCUGCUUCCCACAUGGUGUGGUCACCUCAAGAGCCUUUUCCUCUGAGCCAUUACUUGACACUGACAUCCUUCAGUAGAUCCAGAGCGCAUCAGGUUUGAUCAGCUUCCAGUUGGUCUUAACUUUUGUGUACCCCUUCCUUGAGAGAAGCUCCUCAGGUAAGCAGCAGGUAGGCAGUGCUGGAUAUGGAACCCAGGGCUUCAUACAUUCUAGGCAGUGCUCUACUGCUGAGCUGUAUUCCCAACCCCAACUUGCUUCUUGGCCAUGUCAAGCUUCCUAUAAUGUGAGCAUCAUUCCUAAUCGGUCUUAGCAUCUACUGUUUUUCUUUGGGCUGACAAUAAGGGUUUUGUUGGUACUUUAAUAGAACUUGUAAAUUAAAUUCUUAUAAAUGAUAGGAAGAAUCUAG